Molecule: long non-coding RNA, 616 nt
Organism: Dendroctonus ponderosae (mountain pine beetle)
Lineage: Eukaryota; Metazoa; Arthropoda; Insecta; Coleoptera; Curculionidae
Exons: 3
Source: RefSeq, a predicted model, not a curated record
CAAAGUUAUAAUUUGCUACAUUUGUAAGGUAAGGAAGUCAAUAAAUAAGUGAAUUUUCAACAUUAUUAGUCAGGUUUUCCACAUCAGUUUAUUUUUCAAUUAAACUUUACAAAUUCAAUCUGCUUAAAACGUCUUCAAAGUCAACAUCAACAGUAGUGGGUUUCCUGGUGUAAAUCAAUUUUUUUGCUGUAUACAAAUGUUAAAAUAGCGCAGAAUCCAGACCAAAAUGCCUAAAGAUUCGAAUGUUCGAGAACGUUGUCACGCGACCCAAAACUGAUCAAAGUGUAGUAGCUGACAGAAUAGAACCAGUAGAGAGUAUCACUUUGCAGUUCCAAAAAAUUUUCGGAAGUUGGAAAAAAAAUUGCGCCUAUGCGGAUAGUUCAGCAGUCCAAUUCCAAUAGGAAAAACCAGUACACUAAGAGGCUACAGUAGCAAAGAAUUGGUAGAAACUUCCCAUAUACAAUAUCAGCAGUUCAAUAGCAAUAAAUCAAACAGCAACUGUUUGUUGGAUGGAAGUUGGAUUUGCCCAGUACUGUUAAAUGUUAUUUAGUUUAUUAUGUUAUAAAUAAGAACACUUUUGUGACACGAUGUGAAUAUAUUUGAGUGUUUUAUUCUU